GUGGGGAAUAUUGGACAAUGGGCGAAAGCCUGAUCCAGCAAUGCCGCGUGUGUGAAGAAGGCCUUCGGGUUGUAAAGCACUUUUGUCCGGAAAGAAAUCCUUUGGGUUAAUACCUCGGAGGGAUGACGGUACCGGAAGAAUAAGGACCGGCUAACUACGUGCCAGCAGCCGCGGUAAUACGUAGGGUCCGAGCGUUAAUCGGAAUUACUGGGCGUAAAGCGUGCGCAGGCGGUUUUGUAAGACAGAUGUGAAAUCCCCGGGCUUAACCUGGGAAUUGCAUUUGUGACUGCAAGGCUAGAGUGUGUCAGAGGGGGGUAGAAUUCCACGUGUAGCAGUGAAAUGCGUAGAGAUGUGGAGGAAUACCGAUGGCGAAGGCAGCCCCCUGGGAUAACACUGACGCUCAUGCACGAAAGCGUGGGGAGCAAACAGGAUUAGAUACCCGGUAGUCC
Molecule: ribosomal RNA, 449 nt
Filed under: uncultured bacterium
Lineage: Bacteria
Description: bacterial SSU rRNA
Rfam family: Bacterial small subunit ribosomal RNA
Source: RNAcentral